CACCAAAGCUCUAAAUACGUGAAUCAUAUUGCUCGAAGAAGGCACCACAGAUGAGCAGAGAAGAUGUAUGUCUUGACAAGUAGAAUAACAGUGAUCCACAGCGUCCUUCUCCUUCCCUCUCUCUACCCUUCACCCGUCUCUUUCUAUCCUUUGAGAUCCCAAGCCAUGGUUCGUAAGGUCGAAACGUGUCAGAUCUUGCGUGGGAGCUUUAUUAGGUCUCAGUAGCGGCAGCAAUCACCGUAACACCUCACUCUUCUUCUUCUUCUUCUUCUCUCUCUCUCUCUCUCUCUCUCUCUCUCUCUCUCAUGGUGGGGAAAGGGAUGAGGUGCAUGAGGAUCGAUCGGGGACUUGCUUCGUUUCGCCUGCCCUUUGAUUCCUUUGGGUGCUGGGAAAGGAUUUGCUGUUGGUAUUGCCUCGAUACAACUAAAAAGAGUACUGCUGCAGGAGACUGCGAGAUUCCUCUCGUGGGUCCAUAAAUCCACCGUCUUUCCAGGCUCGAUCCAGCCACCGGUGUCGCUCGCCCUGUGGGUUCGUUCCAACAGUACCUCCCCCCUUGCAGUACUCCUUUCUUCUUAUUCCUGUUGCUUGCCAUCUCCUCUCCUCCGACUCACUCGCCUCAAGCUCUCUUCUCCCGUUACACUCCGUCUCCGUGGGAACAGAAGUCGGUGUUUGCAGCUGUGGCAUCAUCAAGAUUCACACCGACCGGAUGCCCCGCCGUCCUCGUCGUCGAUGAGAAUCUUGAUGAUGCUGCAUCGGCAAAUAAGCGGCUAAACAACACAUGCCACCACCAUCAAGUCAUCAUCUCCUCAGAGGUCAAGUUUCUUGCUGCCGCUUUUGUUCUUAUAGAUGGAUUUCCCGACUUCUUUUACCUUCCAUACCUUUAGUUGAUUGUUUGCAGGGUAGUAAGCAAGCCUUUAAGUCUAAGUUAUUGUCACUCAAGUAGAUAGAUCUUUAUCAGCUUUCAGAUUCCAAGAAGUGAUACCAAUCAAUUAUGCUUUCACAAGGUAUGGAUUCCUUUUCCUUUGAAGGUGGCCACUCGACACACAAUUCUCCUGCCCUUGCUUGUAAUCUCAUGUUCGCUUUAUCUUUACCUUUUGUUUGUCCAUAGCUAAUUAAGCUUUUAUACUCUUGAGUAUUGUGAUUACCAUGUCAGAUAAUAUGGUGUUCAUUAAGGAAGAAUGAUGUUUGGUUUUCUUGAUAAGGAGUAUUUUUCCUUUCCCUUUUCUUCUCCUAAAAUGGAAGAAACCCUAUUAGUUUAUGUUGAUGAUGGACGAAGAACGUGUCAUUAGUUAAAGCUAAGCGACUAGAAUCAUGACAAGGAUUGUGUGUACAAACAAUUGCUCCUGACCAAAUUAAGGAAUCAAAAUGGAGAAGAACAUCAUGCACCACUAUACUUAGCUCAUUUGUGAGCCUUCUCAAAGAGGUUGAUGCUAUUUCUUCUUCUCAGAAUACACCAACAGAUGGUUGUGAGUAUGGACAUACGAUCAUCUUCCUAUUUCCUAAUAUUCCUUCUUCGAAAAACCAGCCAAAGAGCCGAGCUUGACGAUUAUUAGAAGCAUGGAGAAAGCGAAGAACUGCGAUAUCCGUGUCUUCCUCUUUCUUCUCUACGGUUAGGUGUUAAACAUCUGUGUUUUGAGAUGAAGAAUGUGUUCUUCUUAGACUACCAGCAAAUAUCUUCUCAACGUCACAUUCUGGUUGAGAUGGGCGAUGUUAUGUGACACGGAAGAAAGCAAAAGGAGAAUCCCCCAAUUCAGAUAGAAAGAUGAAGCAUCAUUCGAAGCACACAUGUACAGGAAUCAUCUGAAGAGGCAAACACCUCGAAAGCUCCAACUCCAUGACAGUUCCAGUGACUUCCUCUUCAGCUUUGACGAAUGUACUCAAAGAGCUGCUUUUCAACUCAAGAAAGAGAAAAAAGAGGGCACAAUUCCAUCAUCAAUCACUCAUGCAGGUGGUCCUCGCAGAAGGUACAUAUUGCUAGUUGUUUCUGAAGUGGACCUAUACAUGAUGAUGAUGCAGAGAUUUGUCUGGUAAUUUUACUUGAUCUCCUCCUCCAUUUUAGCAGACAAAACAAUCAUGUAGUGUAUUAAAGGCCGAACACAUGUAUACCUCCCGCUUUCCACGAUCGAACAGUAUACCUCCGUAUUUGUAAUAGUUGAUAUAGCUCACAACAAAUCUCAGUGAAAUAUCAAACUAUUGGGGUUGA
This is a long non-coding RNA of Musa acuminata AAA Group (dessert banana), 2203 nucleotides long. RefSeq lists it as uncharacterized. The transcript is spliced from 2 exons. The record is from RefSeq and is a predicted model, not a curated record. Lineage: Eukaryota; Viridiplantae; Streptophyta; Magnoliopsida; Zingiberales; Musaceae.